This 1102-nucleotide long non-coding RNA is filed under the name Triticum aestivum (bread wheat). RNAcentral describes it as "long non-coding RNA (TAES_LNC022916)". The record is from RNAcentral. Lineage: Eukaryota; Viridiplantae; Streptophyta; Magnoliopsida; Poales; Poaceae.
CCAGGUGGAAAGCGAGAACUUAACUUCUGGUAUGCCAGCUCCAUGUAAUAUCACCUUACUUUCACUACAUUGUGGCGGCUCAGAUGUCUUCCGAUAAGAAAUUGUGAUGGUGUUACAUAGAUGGAGAUGAUAGGCUAGUGAAAGAAUUGUGCCAACGUAUUCUCAUAACUCGUUUUAGCGGCAGCGCACAUGGGUUGGAGCGGGCGGAUGCCUCCCUAUCUUUCCACUUCUGCUGCUUUGACUUGCGAAGAAAAUGGCUCGAGGUAUCCUCGAGAGGAACGACGCUAGAAGAGACUAGAAUAAGUUGACUUCUUCACUAAGUUUGCACCCAAACGUACGUAGAUUGAUUCUUUUGUUCAUGAUCGCAUAUUCUCAAUAGUUUUACAUGGAUUGAAAAAAAAAGCAAUUAGCAUUGAUCAAUUCUACUACCAACUCCUGCAUAUGUACUAACUUUGAUUGUUACAAAGAAGACAUGAAAAAUGUGUUGAGACGCGAUCAGGUUUCCCUUCUUCUAUUAUGUGCAUUUUCUAUAGCAUAUUAGCAUCCCAUAUGUGUUUUAUUUUUUCCAACAAUUAUUAUUAUUUUGUUGGGAAGAGCUAUGAUAACAUCGGAAGGAUUCCAUAGUUUUUGCUGAACCCAGCCACACUGGAUGAUGAAAAAACAACAAGAAAGCCUUAACAGGUGAACGGAAUGUAUUACGUACAUGCUAAAAAUCAAAUAGGAAAAAGGAGAAAAUCAAUGGAUAAUACAUGCCAUCAUACUUCUUGUUGGGACAACAAGGCAUUCCUGGAAAUGACACCGCCUGUAUGAUGAAUAUCAUAGGUACAAGACAUGCAUAAUAUACAAGCAUCCUGGUUGCCGUGUUUUUGGGUGUUCCCUUAUGAAUUCUGAUGCUUGAUACAGGUCUUUUGAAGUGUUAAGAUGUGGACAUGAUGCAGAAACUUGGGCUUUCACGCAUACCGGUUUCCGAUCUAUUGGUCAAGGAUUUUUCCCAAGUAUGAGGCCCAAUCCUUCUGUCUGCAACAGUUUGUUGAUUCCUAAUUGAAAAACAGCUAUCUGCCAAGACACCUUGUGAGAACAUGGAGAUUUUACUAAUAUUGAU